Molecule: long non-coding RNA, 2930 nt
Organism: Mizuhopecten yessoensis (Yesso scallop)
Lineage: Eukaryota; Metazoa; Mollusca; Bivalvia; Pectinida; Pectinidae
Exons: 2
Source: RefSeq, a predicted model, not a curated record
CAUAAGUUUACAAAAAAAUCAAUGAAUGUAAAUAUAAAUGUAUAUAAAAUAAAAUGUUUACAAAAUAAUUAUGUCGAUAUUGCAACCGUAGCAAGGUUAUGAAAUACAAAUAAGUUGUAAGUAAACAUGGCCAGAGGAAAUAAAACGCAGGCUACAUUGCAGUGGUCCGAAUGGUCAUGUGAAAACACAGGUAUUUGCUGUUUAAUUUAAAAACAAUGAGAAGGUCAAACGAGUGUAAAUUGUAGAUCUGUGUAUAAAUUAUUGAUUACAAAACGACCUAUAUUAGGUAAAAGAUUCUGUAUUGUUUUAGCUAUUUAUCAUAGUUUUAAUUAUUGAAAAUAGCAGAUACUUGUGAUGAAUUCGACAGGGCCAACCGACACUAACAGGUAAACAUUAACGGGCCCCACUUGAUGGGUACAUAUCUUCAUAGUGAUGUAUUGCUUGACAUUAUAUUAACUAGGUUUUGUAAACAAACUAUCUGCGUCGUAUCAAUGUAAUAACUGCGUAUUUGUUUUAAUUAUUUGCGUCUGUUAAAAGUAUUAAAAGUCGCAACCAAUCAGUGUUUCAUUUUUUCUUUCAAUGUGUAGAAAAAAAAGAGUUGUACACCAUCUGAGGGUGAACAUAGUUUUUCAGUUUUGAAAAUUACAUUUUUUACGAUUUGAUAUUAUCUUCCUGUGUCAUUAAGCAGAUGAAGCCCGAUAUAAUGAACUCAAGCCUCGUUUUAGAUUUGUAUAACUAAAUUCAUUGGCAUUGCACAAGGUUCCAAUACAGACUUCUGCAUGACGAACGUUAUGUGUCAAGGAGACGUGUUUAGAUCAGCCUUUAUCAGUAUUGUUUAACCCCUGGCUGGUGCUGAGUCAAUAACAUCUAAUAUAGAUAUAAUGAAAUAAGGAAGUUUUGUUAAUUUUCUGUACUGUUUUAACAAAUACAAAGUCCAACUGAAAGCGAUUUAAAAUGUGGUCAGACAGAGAUAUAUAUUGUUAUACAUAAAUACACAAUAAUAAACAUACAAAACUGAAAUGUCGUAAUUACAUAAGAAAUGUUACAACACGGUAAAGGUAAGCGGCUAAUAUAAACGGUGAAAACCACACUGAAAACGAGUACAGCAAACAUCUAUUAGAUCGAGUCUACAUACACCUAUACAGGUAAGAUAGUUGUACGUGCCGUGGUUAGUGGUGGUACGCUAUUACUGCGUAUAUAUAAUUAUAUAUGUAUAUAUACUAUAGUUAUUUUUACCCAACACGCUUGUAUAAUUAUGUCAUUCUUAGUAUUACACUGAACAAUAGUAUCGAAAUAUAUUUGCUGAUCAACGUGGACUUUUGGUUUAAAUAUAAGAUCGUUUUUAUGUUGGUGGUUUCUGUAAAUACUACUACCUGUGUAUGGUUUCACACACCACCUGACCUGUGUGCACUAUCACUAUCUUACCUGUACAUGUUGACGUAAUUGAUCCAUAUAACAAGUUUACAAAUCACUCACAAAGAUUGAGACACAAAAUUUACAAAAUCUACUCCAAACAUACGACUUCCCCAAACACUAAACUUCAUUUGUCUUAAUUCAUUCAAAAUCCAAAAUAUUUUUUAUGAAUGGAAUGUGAAAUGUAUACUACUUUAGCAACUGACUGAAAAACUAUUUGGAUUUACGAAAUAAAGAAUCACCAGGUAUCCAUUGUACUUUAUAUUUAUAAAUGAAUAAGUUUUAGCUUGAUAUAGUUAGUUGAAGAUAGUUAAUUGUAGUCCAAAGAAACCAGAAUGUAGAAAUUUUGAUUAAUGAAAGGUUACAAAAAUCGUAAUGAAUGGCAAAUGUGCAAUAUAAAAAUACAGCGAAUAUGAUUGAUUGUUUAUAUUGAAGGAUUGGGAAGAAAUAAUCCCAUGAGAAAUGAAGUUAUACUUUGAACAUAAUGUAUUUACAUUGUACAGAAGAACCUCGAUAUUCUGAUUGUUCUCAUCAACAAUACAUCAGGAAUAUCAGGAAUAUACAAACGAAGUAACGGACUUCACGAAAUGUCAACAUAUCGGCUAUACCAAGUUACGGUGGUUACAUAUUGUAAUCAUAGUAUGAUGGUCCACUUUUAAAUUGAUAUGAAUCAGUCUUCUAUGAACUGUGUGUGUGAAUGCUCGGGUGGUUUAUAACAAAAAGUUAACACAUGAUUCUAAAAACAGAUGUAAAAUGCCACUAGAAAGGUACUUAGUUUGAUUAGUUAGCCAAGUGUAUAAAAUUGAUCAAUAAAAUAUUAACAUAAGCUUCUUUUUCUUUAAAUUUCUUCAUCGGUCAGGCAAUCUUAUUUUGAGCUAGAUACUUAAUGUAACAAUUUCUCUUUGUAACCUCUCCUCGAUAUAUAUUUAAUUAUGCAAGGUGAAGAGCAAAAUAACGACAAAAUUAACAUUCAACCUUCAUAAAGGUCACGUAAUAAAACAAUAACAGAUCGUUCACAACACUGUAUAUUGGCUAAAGUCUACAGAUAGCAUGGUGACCACAUUGUUUAACUCAUCCACCCCUGAAGACACAUUUGAACUCUCCUAAUUCAACGGUUGGAAUAGGUCAUUAUGAAAUUUCAGGGGUGAAGGAGUUAAACAAUCAAGCCACAGCACACCUACUGUAAGCUAAACAUGGUGUAUCAAUUUAAACUCACGUAAUAAGGUGACUAAGGUUCACAUCUAUGAAUUAUCAAUCGCCACUAUAAAACACAUUACUGGAAGCCUUUCAACAUUUAAAACAUCAUAAUAUAUUUAGUAAACGUUUGUAAUUGUCUAGUCAUAAAAACGUGUACUUGGUCAGUUGUCUAUGCUGUGCUCACAUUAUAAGUGGGCCCUGUUACAAAGUCCGUGUUGUUAUAUAACACUGGUGUGUGUCUAACGUUAUCAGACAUAUUGACAGGCACUGGUAUUGAUAAAAACCUCUCCCACAAUGGCUGGGUACAUGUGGCGUGGAAA